Molecule: long non-coding RNA, 435 nt
Organism: Sycon ciliatum
Lineage: Eukaryota; Metazoa; Porifera; Calcarea; Leucosolenida; Sycettidae
Exons: 3
Source: RefSeq, a predicted model, not a curated record
AACAUACAAUCAUGGACGGGUCCUCGCUUAUUAGCCUGAUUCAAGUGAUUGGCAAUGGCCCCAAGCUUCAAGAGUAUUUGGGCCGCAGGAAGGCGGAAGUUGGACACAGCCGUAGCGACUAGCUGAAUGCAGUGACGAAGCGGAUGACUGCACUGGACGUCUGGACCCGCCAGUCACUGUGUGGAGAUGUUUGACCGACACAGCCUACAGGCUACAUACACUUGAACAUUGGCGUGAGGCCGGCACAUUUGGAUGUUGCUUAGGUUAGACCUACCCUUGCACCCUCUGAGAUGAACAACACAACUAGUCAUAGGCAAGUAUAAAGUAAGUACAUAACGUUACAUGCACUUCCAUGUAUAUACUAGUACUUUGAAAGCCGAGGUGCGUGGCGAGGAGAAAGGCAUUAUAUCCGGUAUAGUUGUCUGCUUGCUUACC